RNAcentral lists this unclassified non-coding RNA (335 nucleotides) under uncultured fungus. RNAcentral describes it as "partial contains 5.8S ribosomal RNA and internal transcribed spacer 2". The stretch from base 1 to 134 matches the Rfam family "5.8S ribosomal RNA", at positions 22 to 154 of the family's 154-position model. The record is from RNAcentral. Lineage: Eukaryota; Fungi.
UGGUUCUGGCAUCGAUGAAGAACGCAGCGAAAUGCGAUAAGUAAUGCGAAUUGCAGAAUUCCAGUGAGUCAUCGAAUCUUUGAACGCACAUUGCGCCCUUUGGUAUUCCGAAGGGCAUGCCUGUUCGAGCGUCAUUAUCACCCCUCAAGCCCUGUGCUUGAUGUUGGAGGGCUUUGGUCUCCUCGGCCAACCCCUCCCAAAGACAAUGACGGCGGCCUGUGGGACCCCCGGUACACUGAGCUUUUAACUGAGCACGUAUCGGAUGAGGGUGCCCAGGACACGGUCUUUAUUUUACCACUAAGGUUGACCUCGGAUCAGGUAGGAAUACGCGCUGA